Molecule: long non-coding RNA, 341 nt
Filed under: Cricetulus griseus (Chinese hamster)
Lineage: Eukaryota; Metazoa; Chordata; Mammalia; Rodentia; Cricetidae
Description: lncRNA (ENSCGRG00015043055.1)
Source: RNAcentral
GUCAAUUUUGUGAUAUGUAUAUUUCUCCUCUUGUUUAGGUAUUGUGUUUAUACAGAUCUUUUACCUAUAAUAGUCAGAACUUAUAAUUAGGUUAGUUAGGUUUUCUAGAUAUAGAGAUGUAUUUGAGAUGGUUAGGUAUUCUUCAAACCUUUCAAAGACCUACAGAAAUAUGGCAUUUAAAUGGUUUAGGGUUUUUCUUGGCAGUGAGACAAAACUGCUCCUGGCACACCAAUUACUUCAGAAAGGAGGAUGGCCAUUGAAGAAACUUGUUAUGGAGUUUGCUUUCAACAUGGCAAGAUUAGCCAUUUGGGCAAGAAACUGCUCUUGCCUGGACUGUUUGU